This 484-nucleotide ribosomal RNA is filed under the name uncultured bacterium. Its description in RNAcentral is "partial 16S ribosomal RNA". It matches the Rfam family "Bacterial small subunit ribosomal RNA", at positions 30 to 507 of the family's 1533-position model. The record is from RNAcentral.
AUUGAACGCUGGCGGCAGGCCUAACACAUGCAAGUCCAGCGGAUGAAGGGAGCUUGCUCCUGGAUUCAGCGGCGGACGGGUGAGUAAUGCCUAGGAAUCUGCCUGGUAGUGGGGGAUAACGUCCGGAAACGGGCGCUAAUACCGCAUACGUCCUGAGGGAGAAAGUGGGGGAUCUUCGGACCUCACGCUAUCAGAUGAGCCUAGGUCGGAUUAGCUAGUUGGUGGGGUAAAGGCCUACCAAGGCGACGAUCCGUAACUGGUCUGAGAGGAUGAUCAGUCACACUGGAACUGAGACACGGUCCAGACUCCGACGGGAGGCAGCGGUGGGGAAUAUUGGACAAUGGGCGAAAGCCUGAUCCAGCCAUGCCGCGUGUGUGAAGAAGGUCUUCGGAUUGUAAAGCACUUUAAGUUGGGAGGAAGGGCAGUAAGUUAAUACCUUGCUGUUUUGACGUUACCAACAGAAUAAGCACCGGCUAACUUCGUG